AUGUCUUUACUCUCAAAGGCCUUCGAAGCUUGAUAAGGAGGUGGUUCUAAAAACUGUGGGAUAGGCUCUUCCGAUGUUUUCUGUGAAUGUAUUUUUGCUGCCGUUUAGUACUUGUGAAACGCUUUAGCAAUUAAUGAAUGGUUUUGGUGGGGGUGCUAAUAUGGGAGACAUGUUAUGGAUUCGAUAAGCAUUUUGGGAUCGACUUUGUGUGGCUAAAAAAUAUGGUGGUAUGGACUUUCGUAAUCUCUACUAUUUUUUAACUUGGCUAUGCUGGACAAGCAAUGUUGGCGGAUUCUUGAGAAUCCAAAUUCUCUCAUGGCUCAGAUUGUCAAAGCUAGAUACUUCCCGAGGGAGGAUUGGUUUAUGACUACGUUGGGUACAAAUCCCUUAUUUGUUUGGCAUAGUCUUUGCAUGGCUAAGGAUUUAUUUAUAAGGGGUUAUCCUUGUAGAUUUGGGGAUGGUGCAUCCAUACAUGUUUUUUUUUUCUAAUCCAUGACUUACUGAUGAUUCCACCUAUUUUAUCGAAUCAGCUCCUUUAACAAGCAUGUAGGACUUGAUUGCCAAAGACCUGCUUGAUGUCAAUGGCAUGGCUUAGGAUAAGGACUUUGUUGAGGGAUUUAUGGGCCAAUUGAUAUUGCUAGAAUUUUGAGAGUACCGGUCAGACCAUUUUCAAGGCCAAACAAGCUAAUUUGGCAUUCUGAAUCGCUACACAGUCAGAGAUGCUUGCAUAAUCAUAUUCGGACUUGUUACCGCUUAUAUGAGAAGGGUUGUUUAGUGCCGAUACACUGUGUUCAAUGUGGUGAGACGGAGGACUUAGAUCACUUUUUAUUACACUAUUCAGCUACGGUAGGGGUCUAGGCUACUAUUGUCAUUGCACCUUCGGCGACGAUUUUUAAGGGCUGGCUUAGUUUGUUGUUGCAAGCCGGGGACGCGGUUGUAUUUCAGCAGGUGGCAGUGCUUCUUUGGGGCCUUUUGUUUUUUCAGAACCAACAUGUUUGAAAGGGUGAGCAGGCUUCCCUGCAACAUGUUUGAAAGGGUGAGCAGGCUUCCCUGCAACAUGUUUGAAAGGAUAAGAUUUUUUAUCCUUAUAUUUCAUAUUCUAUUAAGAUAGAUUAUAUAUACCAAAUUUUGAAUAAAAUAAAAUUGCUUGAUUAUUUA
Gossypium raimondii (Peruvian cotton) is the source of this 1158-nucleotide long non-coding RNA. RefSeq lists it as uncharacterized. Lineage: Eukaryota; Viridiplantae; Streptophyta; Magnoliopsida; Malvales; Malvaceae. The record is from RefSeq and is a predicted model, not a curated record. The transcript has 2 exons.